Mugil cephalus (flathead mullet) is the source of this 124-nucleotide small nucleolar RNA. RefSeq annotates it as small nucleolar RNA SNORA47. The record is from RefSeq and is a predicted model, not a curated record. The transcript has a single exon. NCBI's taxonomy places the organism in Eukaryota, Metazoa, Chordata, Actinopteri, Mugiliformes, Mugilidae.
UGGAGGACUGAGAAAGUUGCACAGCUUGUGUUGUGCUGUUGUAACUGGUUAUAACCUCCAAGAGUAAUGAACAAACCACUUGAUUGAGUCACUCUGUGCGACGCAGAGCUGAUAUGUGUGUUUG